This 564-nucleotide ribosomal RNA is filed under the name uncultured Glomeromycotina. RNAcentral's name for it is "SSU rRNA". It matches the Rfam family "Eukaryotic small subunit ribosomal RNA", at positions 548 to 1114 of the family's 1831-position model. The record is from RNAcentral. Lineage: Eukaryota; Fungi; Glomeromycota.
UUGGAGGGCAAGUCUGGUGCCAGCAGCCGCGGUAAUUCCAGCUCCAAUAGCGUAUAUUAAAGUUGUUGCAGUUAAAAAGCUCGUAGUUGAAUUUCGGGAUCAGAUUGUUGGUCAUGCCUCGGUACGCACUGGCAUUAUUGGUUCCUACCUUCUGAAGAACCGCGAUGUCAUUAAUUUGGUGUCGUGGGGAAUCAGGACUGUUACUUUGAAAAAAUUAGAGUGUUUAAAGCAGGCGCACGCUUGAAUACAUUAGCAUGGAAUAAUGAAAUAGGACGUUUGAUUCUAUUUUGUUGGUUUCUAGGAUCGACGUAAUGAUUAAUAGGGAUAGUUGGGGGCAUUAGUAUUCAAUUGUCAGAGGUGAAAUUCUUGGAUUUAUUGAAGACUAACUACUGCGAAAGCAUUUGCCAAGGAUGUUUUCAUUAAUCAAGAACGAAAGUUAGGGGAUCGAAGACGAUCAGAUACCGUCGUAGUCUUAACCAUAAACUAUGCCGACUAGGGAUCGGAUGAUGUUAAUUUUUUAAUGACUCAUUCGGCGCCUUACGGGAAACCAAAGUGUUUGGGUUC